UAGAGUUUGAUCCUGGCUCAGAUUGACCGUUUGAGGCAUGCCUUACACAUGCAAGUCGAACGGUAACGCGGCGUUACCUGGCGACGAGUGGCGAACGGGUGAGUAAUACAUCGGAACGUGCCCAGUAGUGGGGGAUAGCCCGGCGAAAGCCGGAUUAAUACCGCAUACGACCUACGGGUGAAAGCAGGGGAUCGCAAGACCUUGCGCUAUUGGAGCGGCCGAUGUCAGAUUAGGUUGUUGGUGGGGUAAAAGCCUACCAAGCCGACGAUCUGUAGCUGGUCUGAGAGGACGACCAGCCACACUGGGACUGAGACACGGCCCAGACUCCUACGGGAGGCAGCAGUGGGGAAUUUUGGACAAUGGGCGCAAGCCUGAUCCAGCCAUGCCGCGUGCGGGAAGAAGGCCUUCGGGUUGUAAAGCUCUUUCGGUGGGGAAGAAAUUGCUUCGGUUAAUACCUGGAGUAGAUG
Molecule: ribosomal RNA, 467 nt
Filed under: uncultured bacterium
Lineage: Bacteria
Description: bacterial SSU rRNA
Rfam family: Bacterial small subunit ribosomal RNA
Source: RNAcentral